RNAcentral lists this transfer RNA (73 nucleotides) under [Eubacterium] minutum. RNAcentral describes it as "tRNA-Val(tac)". It matches the Rfam family "tRNA". Rfam says of the family: Transfer RNA (tRNA) molecules are approximately 80 nucleotides in length. Their secondary structure includes four short double-helical elements and three loops (D, anti-codon, and T loops). Further hydrogen bonds mediate the characteristic L-shaped molecular structure. tRNAs have two regions of fundamental functional importance: the anti-codon, which is responsible for specific mRNA codon recognition, and the 3' end, to which the tRNAs corresponding amino acid is attached (by aminoacyl-tRNA synthetases). tRNAs cope with the degeneracy of the genetic code in two manners: having more than one tRNA (with a specific anti-codon) for a particular amino acid; and 'wobble' base-pairing, i.e. permitting non-standard base-pairing at the 3rd anti-codon position. RNAcentral also lists the same sequence under 4 other names. Lineage: Bacteria; Bacillati; Bacillota; Clostridia; Peptostreptococcales; Anaerovoracaceae. The record is from RNAcentral.
GGGCGCUUAGCUCAGCUGGGAGAGCAUCUGCCUUACAAGCAGAGGGUCAUAGGUUCGAGCCCUAUAGCGCCCA